GAGGAGGUAGCAUAAAAAGUGUGUCUUGUUUACACCAAGGCGGUGGCCAGUGGGCCUUUUCUCU
RNAcentral lists this transfer RNA (64 nucleotides) under Teredothyra matocotana. RNAcentral's name for it is "tRNA-Val". Lineage: Eukaryota; Metazoa; Mollusca; Bivalvia; Myida; Teredinidae. The record is from RNAcentral.